GUCCUCAUGAAAAUAAUUUGAGGUCUGACCUGCCCACUGAAUUGAAGAAUUUGAAGGGCCGCGGUAUUUUGACCGUGCAAAGGUAGCAUAAUCAUUAGUCUUUUAAUUGAAGGCUGGAAUGAAUGGUUGGACGAGGUAUUGACUGUCUCAAUGUAAUUGUUAUUAGAAUUUAACUUUUAGGUCAAAAGGCUUAAAUACGUUUAAAGGACGAGAAGACCCUAUAGAGCUUUAUAUUUAAUAAUUAUUUCUAAUUUAGAUGAAUUUUAGUAAUAGUUAAUGAAAUAUUUUGUUGGGGUGACAGGAAGAUAAAAUAAACUCUUUUUAAGUUUAAACAUUAAUUUAUGAAUAAUUGAUCCAUUAUUAGUGAUUAUAAGACUAAGUUACCUUAGGGAUAACAGCGUAAUCUUUUUUGAGAGUUCAUAUCGACAAAAGGGGUUGCGACCUCGAUGUUGGAUUAAGGGUAAUUUUGGGUGUAGAUGUUCAAAGUUUAGGUCUGUUCGACCUUUAGAUCCUUACGUGAUC
Molecule: ribosomal RNA, 522 nt
Filed under: Isoperla rivulorum
Lineage: Eukaryota; Metazoa; Arthropoda; Insecta; Plecoptera; Perlodidae
Description: partial 16S ribosomal RNA
Rfam family: Bacterial large subunit ribosomal RNA
Source: RNAcentral